This 2541-nucleotide long non-coding RNA is filed under the name Helianthus annuus (common sunflower). The record is from RNAcentral. Lineage: Eukaryota; Viridiplantae; Streptophyta; Magnoliopsida; Asterales; Asteraceae.
AUGUUGCUCGCGAGAAGGCAACGUAUAAUUGUCCGUGAAUUGGCCUUGGCUUUUAUUUAUAGUCAUAGCAUAGCACACUUUUAUUGGGAAUUGGCGUCUUGUGAAAACAAAUGGUAAGUCUUUAUUAUUAUGCACAAAUUUAAUUCUAGGUAUAUACACACGUUUUCCUGUUGAUAUGCCUGUUAUUAUAUAUGCCUCUAUAACUUUUGGUAACAACUGGGAUACUAACAAACGUGUGCCAUUGCAUAGACCGAGUGUUUGGUUUAUGUUUCUGAGCUAUAUUACAGGAGUAUUGACAUUUAAGUCUAAUUUAUGAGAAGGGAUGCUAGAAAAACUUAGCUGAUUUAAAUAUUCCUGUGGAUACAAAGUUUCAGAAUCUACCGAGUCUUGCAUACGAGCUGUAUCAUUUUUUGGACACACGAUUGCUCUAGUUGACAAAUUGUUAGCGCAUGGAUUUUUGAGUAUUGAAUCAUCAUAAACAAAGUUGAUUAAAGAUUGAAGACUGUUUGCUUCUUAUUGAAUAAGAAAGUCUGGUGGGAUUUCAACAUUUUUUGUAUUAUGGGGAUCAUCUGCAUCGGGUUUGCCAAUCAAACCAUUUCCAAUAUCUAACAACCAUGACGCAAACAUAACAGAUGUUCGAGUAGUAGAUGAGCUUUGAGUAUCCCCAUUGAGACGCAUGUUCUGGGAGAGUUUGCCUAAAAUCACCUCCUAGAAGUAUAGACAUACCACCAAAGAGGUCCGUAUCGUUUCCCAAAACAUCUUUCAAUGAUCUAUCAAGACACUCAAAACAACGCCGAUCACUCAUGGGGGCUUCAUCCCAAAUUACUAAUGAUGUCUGUUUUAAAAGGUCGCCCAACUGCGUUUUUUUCUUGAUAUCACACGUUGAUUGUUCUGUAAGAUCUAUAGGUAUUUUGAAUCGAGAAUGAGCCGUUCUUCCCGAUGGUAAAAGAAGGGAGGCAAUUCCUGAUGCAGCCACUGCUAACACAACCUUCCCAAUGGAUCUAAUAAAAGAAAUGAUCGUAUUCCACAAAAAAGUUUUCCCGGUGCCACCAUGCCCGUAAACAAACAGUAACAGCUGAGUUUUAUUAACAUAUGAAUCUCUAACUGCAUUGUAAACUAGAAGUUGGUCCAUAUUUAGCUGUGAAUGCAUUUGCAAAUGUUGUAGACUCAGUGCUGAUCUAUCAUAACUGACUUCCUGUAACAAAAGGCGAUUUCUCAAAGUUGCAAGGACACUCUCAGAGGGUAAAGGAAGGCCGAAAUCCUUAAGUGAUUUAGAGGGAGUAGUGGAAUUCAAUAUUUUUUCAAGCUCUAAUAGGACUUUCUGUUGCAAAUCAAAAUCGUUCACAAGUGAGGUCGGAUUUGACAAAGUAGAGUUAAGAGUCAAGAGUAGAUCAUCAGCCAUCUUUUUCCACUCUGAUUGCCAUAAAACUAAAGGGUUACCGACCUCACAAAAUAAAAGCAAAUGACAGAAAAGAGACCUUAACUCUGAAGAUGUGGCCCACGCUGAUGCUUCAGUGAACGCUUCAGCCCACUCUCUGUCAUCACCUAAUAUACCCAACGACUCACAUGCCCCUCUAAAAGUUGUGUAUGUAACAGAAGACACGGUACGUACAUCAGAGUAGGACUUGCAACCUUUUUGAUGACAAAGUAGCAGGCACAAAUAGAAAAGUUCACCAGCUGUGGGAUGUACGUACACAAGGCGUCCAAUUGCUGCAGGUCUUGCUUGGACUCUACGAAUCCAUACUUUAGCGGAUAACUCCCAACGGUAUCUUGAUGGAUAAUCUCUAUAGCUAAGACUUGGACCGAAGGACUGCGUUCAUGAAUUGAGAAAUUCAAAAUUCUCCACGAAGCUUCAUGUGGGGAAAUAAACCGGCCGUCUAGAAAGUUUUGAAUUUUAUCAACCACAGGAGGCGCAUCAGACGAUGUAGAUGGUGAAUGAGUUUCAGACUUACGAAUUGCAAACUUAAUACGAUCAACUCCUUAGAGAUGUAUUUAAAGAGCUACAUAGACGUUUAUUGUAUGGAACAACAUAACUGCAAUCAAUUUGGAGGCCAUUCCUUGACACAUGAUAGUUGGUAGCUUGUCUUUUGCAAUGAACAUAGCCAUCCUUGUCAAACAGCGUAGCGGCUUCAAACGACUUUAGAAAAUGCUUUGAACAUUUACCUUCACGCAUACAAGGAGCGUUAGGAUUGAGCAACCCGCACGGGCCAUGAAUCAUGCAUUCAGUAAUUGUCUGAUACAAAAGAGGCUCAGAAUUUUGAUCCGGGAACUCAGCAGUAAUGUAACUAUCUACAUUUGAAGCGUCUCGUAUUCUAUCGACUGCUGUGACCCAGAUUAAAGUGUGAUAGUGCGGCCACCUGACAUUGCAUGUGAAAGUGAUGAAGUAUUGCGGAUUACCAUGGACCCUGCAAAUUGCUAAGGCGUCUUGGUAAUGCUUAUACAUGUAACAUGGCCCACCGGUAAACGAAGAUGGUAAAAAGAUCCGCUUUCCUAUAUCACGACAUUCCGUAUCACCUCGUGAAAGGGCAACGUACAUGCCAA